RNAcentral lists this ribosomal RNA (200 nucleotides) under uncultured bacterium. RNAcentral describes it as "partial 16S ribosomal RNA". It matches the Rfam family "Bacterial small subunit ribosomal RNA", at positions 328 to 539 of the family's 1533-position model. The record is from RNAcentral.
ACGCUCGACACCUACGGGUGGCAGCAGUGGGGAAUAUUGGGCAAUGGGCGCAAGCCUGACCCAGCAACGCCGCGUGAAGGAAGAAGGCCCUCGGGUUGUAAACUUCUUUUAUCAGGGACGAAGCAAGUGACGGUACCUGAUGAAUAAGCCACGGCUAACUACGUGCCACAGCCGCGGUAAUCUGAGCGGGCUGGCAAGGC